Non-coding RNA from Cinclus cinclus, 73 nucleotides. NCBI's taxonomy places the organism in Eukaryota, Metazoa, Chordata, Aves, Passeriformes, Cinclidae. The record is from the annotation of a RefSeq genome assembly.
GCUGAAGUAGCUCAGCUGGGAGAGCAUUAGACUGAAGAGCUAAAGUUCCCUGGUUCAAUCCCAGGCUUUAGCA